RNAcentral lists this long non-coding RNA (8254 nucleotides) under Homo sapiens (human). RNAcentral describes it as "HSALNT0217457". The record is from RNAcentral. Lineage: Eukaryota; Metazoa; Chordata; Mammalia; Primates; Hominidae.
GUGAAGUCAUGUGAGUGAUUCAGUAUAUGCUUUGUAUGGCUGGAGAAAGCUCAGUAGAUACAAGAAAAAGCAGUGUGUAACAGAUCUCCCCCCACCAUGCAGUGAUCUAAGAGAUGGACCCAGGCUAAAUGGUUUGGAAUAGUUCACCAGUGAAGUCAUCUCAACCAGCACAGGGCCUUGACUCCUAACAACAAUCACACGAACUUGGAAGAGGAGCCUUCCCCACCUGAACCUUCACUUGAGACCUCGUCCUUGGCCAUCCUCUACAUCUGGAUUCAUGAUACAGAGAAACUUGAGUAAUGAUGACAAUAGCAGUCCAGUGUGCAUGGAUGCUGACGUGGAUGCUGUCUCCCAUUCUUACCACUGGAUGGGAAGAAAUGAUAGAUGCAAUCCAGCCAUUGUGUUCUCGACUCUCAGUUCCAUCUUCUCAACUGACAUUGUCUUCCAAAGUCCGUGCCACACCACAGCCUGGAACAUCUCCCAAAGUGGUAUCUUGAUGCAAUGGUAGAGCUCAUGUCACAGUAUUGUAUGUCUCAGGUUUGAAUAACUCACCAGUGAAGUCAUCUUGACCUGGACAGAAAUUGAAUCCUCCCGAGAAUCCCAGGAGCUGGGUAGGUGAUCCUUCCCCAGAUGAGCCUUCCCUUGAAAUCUCUGCCAGGCAUCUGACCCAGAGAAACUACCAUGAUCAUGGACUGCAUUCUCCAUACCAUGUUCAUAUCUUCAGUGGGAAAACAAACUCCUGAGUCCUGGAGACCUAGAAUGAGAGACACAGCUGACCUUGACCGUAUUUCUCACUUCUGAGAAGAUUGUAGCAGUAAUUCAGGUCUUUGUGGAAUCUCCACACUGCCUUCCACAAUGGUUGAACUAAUUUGGACGUCCACCAACGGUGUGUCAGAGAGGUUAAUCCUAAGAACAGUUACAUGAGCUUGGAAGGAGACCCUUCCCCAGCUGAGCCUUAGCCUGGACCAUCACCUACAUCUGGACUGAAGACCUAGAGAAACAACUCUAUCAGGAAUCACUUGGGACUGUGCAUUCUGUUGACACUCACUUUGUGGAAUUAAGUUGCCCACUGCCAACCCUAAAGCCACCAAGGUAGCAGAUGAGGUCUUGUUCUUUUGGCCAGGCUGGAGUGCAGUGGUACAGUCGUGACUCACUGCAGCUUCAAACACCUGGGUUCCAGCAUUCAUCCCACUUCAGCCUCCCGUGUAGCCGGGACUACAGGUAUGAAAUAAUUUCCUAUUGAAGUCAUCUUAACAUGGAACCAGAAUUAAAUCCUAACAACAAUCAUGUGAGCCUGGGGAGGAUCCUUCCCCACGUGAGCCUUCAGGGGAGACUUCAGCCUUGGCCAUCUUCUACAUCUAGAUUCCUGACCAAGAGAAGCUUUGGAGUUUGCUGUUUCGCCCAGGCUGGAGUGAAGUGGCGAGAUCUCCCCUCACUGCAACCUCCGCCCCCGGGGUUCAAGUGAUUCUCCUGCCUCAGCCACCACCAUUUAACACUGAGAAGUGGGCAGUCACAGAGAAAAAGUUUAGAAUAGUUCACCAGUGAAGUCAUCUCAACCAGCACAGGGCCUUGACUCCUAACAACAAUCACACGAACUUGGAAGAGGAGCCUUCCCCAACUGAACCUUCGCUUGAGACCUCGUCCUUGGCCAUCCUCUACAUCUGGAUUCAUGAUACAGAGAAACUUGAGUAAUGAUGACACUAGCAGUCCAGCCUGCAUGGAUGCUGACAUGGAUGCUGUCUCCCAUUCUUACCACUGGAUGGGAAGAAAUGCUAGAUGCAAUCCAGCCAGUCUGUACUCGACUGUCAGUUCCAUCUUCUCAACUCACAGUGUCUUCCAAAGUCCGUGCCACACCACAGCCUGGAACAUCUCCCAAGGUUUCAAAUAAUUCAUCAGUGAAUUCUUCUCAACCUGGUCAAUCAUGUGAACUUAGAAGAUGAUUCCUCCCCAGCUGAUCCUCAGGUGAGACAUCAGCCUUGGCCAUCAUCUACAUCUGGAUUCCUGACCCAGAGAAACUGAAUUUUAUGGAACCUUGUAUUCUGUUGAAUACCAGAAUUAUAUCAGCAAUCCCAAAGUCACCAAAUGGGCAUCAUCAUGACAGCAGACCGUGAUCAUGGGCUACAUUCUCCGUACCAGCUUCAUAGCUCCAGUGAGAAAAUAAAUUCCUGCAUCCAGGAGAUGUGGAGUAAGAGAUACAGCUGCCCUUGACCAUAUUUCUUACUUCCGAGAAGAUCGUAGCAGUAAUUCAGAAUCUCAUCCAGGAUACCUCAUCACAGGCUGGAGUGCAGUGUCAUGAGCUUGGCUCACUACAGCCUCCAUCUUCUGUGCUUAAGGAUCCUUCCCUCUCAACCUCCAAGGUAGCUGAGACUACAGGUAUGUGCCACCAUGCUGGACUAAUUUAUUGUUGUUGUUGUUGUUUGUUAGAUUUUUGGUAGAGGCAAGGUUUCACCAUGUUGCCCAGGCCAGAGUCAAACUCCUGGGCUCAAGUGAUAUUUAUUUUGUUAUAGAGAUGGGGUCUUAAUGUGGUGCCCAGGCUAGUCUGGGAUUACAGGUGUGAGCCACUGUGCCUUGCCAAAAACUGCCAUUCUCAUCAUAUCGUACCAAGAGUACAAACUCAACAAGGGUACAAACUGUCAACCAGAGUAGACAUUCAUUAUUGGCAGAAUGUCUACAAAUUCCUUUAAACCUUCACCAUAAACAUGUGCCUACUCUCUUCCAAUUAUUUCAUGUGUAUUAAUUUAUUCAUUUAUACAUGCAUCUUUUAUUUAUAUCAUUAUCUAAAUAUGGAGAUUUAUUUUACAAUGCGUAUGUGCUAUUUUUUUUUUUUUGAGACAGAGCCUUUCUCUGUUGCCCAGGCUGGAGUGCAAUGGUGCGAUCUCAGCUCAUCGCAACCUCUGCCCCCUGGGUUCAAGCGAUUCUAGUGCCUCAGUUUCCUGACUGGCUGGGAUUACAGGCAUGAGACACUACACCUGGCUAAGUUUUGUGUUUUUAGUAGAGACAGGGUUUCACCAUGUUGGCCAGGUUGGUCUUAAACUCCAUACCUCAGAUGAUCCACCCUCCUCGGCCUCCCAAAGUGCUGGGAUUACAGGCAUGAGCCACCAUGCUUGGCCGCUAUUUUUUUUUUUAAUUGCACAAAUUGUUCCAGUGUUGGCUAUUGGAAGGUUUUUAAGUUGUCUCUUGUAUCACUUUGAAAUACCUCCAUAAUUAAAGUUUGAUGUUGUGUGGUUGGUUGGUUUUGUUGUUGUUUGGCAUUUUCUUUUGUUCAGUCACUAUUAUAUGCUCCAGUCUAUGAAUUUAAUUGUGCUCCAGGGUAAUUUGGUAAUUUUAUAAUUUCUACGAAUGUUUCCAACACCAUAUGACCUAAUCCAGCACCAUAUAAAUGGAUCCACUCAUUCUCUCAUUUGUAUGUAAUCUAGCACUCCCUGCAAGCAAGUUGAUGUUGUUAAUUUAAUCAUGCUACCUGAACAAGGUAUAUUGCUAUGUAGAAAAAUACAAGUUGAAACAGUCAAAAUACUGUGUAAUUCCAUUCAUAUGACUCUGUAGAAAAGGAAAAAGUGUAGUGAUAGUAGAGUUCAGUGGUAACAAGGGGCUUGGGAGAGAUAUAGGUGACAUCAGUGAACUACCGAAGAUUUCUUUUGGGCAGUGAAAUUCCUCUUUGAUACUGUAACGGUGGAUACAUCAUAAUGUUUUCCAAAUCCUGAAGAACUUUGUAACACAAAGAGUGUAGCUAAUUUAUGCAAAUUAAAAACCUUAUUUAGGAGGUCACAAGUUUGCCUUUUCACAGUAUUUUACCUUUUCCAACUUAUAUUUUUUAGCAAUAUGCUUUUUAGAUUUUUGAAGUACACCUCAUGGUUUUUAGAUUUGCCUUCACCUAAUUGUUGUAGGACAGGUGAGUCACACAAUUGGGGCUUAUCCUGAGAGGGUUAUUAGCUUUGUCCAGGAAAGAAUUUAAGGGCAAGUGGGUGAUGUUAGACUGCAAUAUUUUAUUGAAUGGUACUGCUCCUAGCAGAGCAGGGCUAACUCUUAAGCAGUGUGUUCAGAGUUGGCAACAUAUAGGCCUCCUGGCAACUGUGUUUAUAUGCAAUCAAACCCACUUUUAAUUAUAUGCAAAUUGAGGGGCAGAUCAAUGCAAAUUGAGGCAGGAAAGGGGCAGUGACUUCUAGGUUGUCUCCAUGGAAAGGGGCAGUAACUUCUGAGCUGUAGCCAUGGAAUUUGUAAACAGUUAUGUGGUUGGUAGGAGUGUCAUAUGAGUGACAAAUGAAGACUGCCAGGGAUCACAUUUACCACAAUGUACACGCUUCUGUCAGUUUUUUCCCUUUAUCCUGUCUGGAGCAGAUCUUAUUUUGGUCAUCAAGGUUGUGAAACCAGAAAACAAGUCCUUCCAGUCUCCUACCUCAUAAUGACAAAAGACAUUGAGCAUAAUUUCAUGUGAUUUUGGAUAUGACUAUGGCUUUCUUUUGAGAGUUGGCUAUUUAAGAUUUUGCCAUUUUUGAUUGGGAUAUUUGCCUUUUUAAUUUUGAGUUGUAAGACAUUGUAUAUUCUGGAUAAUAGACCAUUAUCACCUAUAAAAUUUGCAAUUUUCACAUAUUUUCUGCCAUUCUUUGGGUGCCUCUUUAUAUUUGAUGGUGGACUUUAAAUUGCAAAAGAUUUUAAUUCUAAUGAAGUUUAAUAUUUCUAUAUUUUCUUCUUUCCUUUGUGCUUUUCAGUGUCAUAUCUUAAAACAUUGUUUAACCAGAGACCACAAAGAUGUAUUCCUGUGUUCCUUUUUAUGGGUUGGCCCUGUUUAGCUCUUAUAUUUAGAUGGAUUAUCAUUUUGAGUCAAUUAUGUUUCUGGUAUGAGGCAAGAGUCUAACUUGCAUGUGGAUAUCCACUUGACCCACAAACAUUUGACAAGAAAAUAUUGCUUCAUACCUAAUUUAUUUGGCCACAGUAUAAAAGCAUUUCACCAUAAAUGUAGGGAUUCAUUUUUCAGUAUUAUAUUCUCUACUCCAUUGAUCAAUACAUAUAUCCCUAUACUAGUACCACAAAUCUUGAUUACUAUUACUUUGUAGUAAGUUUUGCAAUCAAGAAGCAUAUGUCUACUAUGCAAACCCUUUUUGUCCUUCUCAAGAGUGUUUUGGCUGCUCAUGAUCUAUAUUAUAUAUAAUUUUAGGAUAAACUUCUGAAUUUAGGGGAAGGUAAUGCCACCUGGUGUUUUGAGAGAAGUUGCAUUAAUUCUAUAGAUCCAUUUGGAAAAUAUUGCCAACCUAACAAUAUGCAUUCUGUAGUUUUUAGUGUACAUAUCUUAUACUUAAUUUGAUAAGGUUAUUCCUAAGUAUUUUUGAUGUGAUCUUAAUUGGAACGAUUUUCUGAGUUUUGUUUUUAGAUUGUUAAUUGCUAGUAUAGAGAAAUUUAAAAUAUUUUAUAUAUUUUAUAUGCUGCAAACUUCUUUGAACUCAUCUUUAAAUUCUAAACAUAUUUGAUAGAGUCCUUUGGACUUUUUAUACAUGAGAUCAUGUCAUUUGCAAACAGUCGGAGUUUGACUUCCUUUCCAUACUAGAAACGUUAUAUUUAUUUUUCUAAAUGAAUUGCCCUGUCUACAUUCUCCAGUACAAUGUUGCGAACAAGUGUCAACAGUGGAAAUAUUUGACUUCUUUCUAAUAUCAGAGAAAUUAGUGAACCUUUCAGAUUACUUAUGAUGAUAUGUGAGCUUUUCAUAGAUGCCCUUUGAAAUGAAGAAAGUUCUCUUAUCUGCCUAAUUUGCUGCAUGUUUUUAUAAUACUGAAUCUGGGAAUUUUCAAGUGCUUGUUGCACACCUUCUGAGACGAUUGUGUAGUUUUUAUUCUUUAUUAAUAUAGUGUAUGACAUUAAUUGUAUCAUAUGUUGAACCAAAUUUGCAUUCCUGAGGUAAAUACCUUUUGCCAUAGUUUAUAAUACUUUCUACAUGUUGCUGAUUUCAUUUGAUAAUAUCUCGCUGCUGAUUUUUGUCUCUGUAUUUAUAAGGCAUAUUGGUCUUCAUUCUCCUUAUUUGAAAUGUCUUUGUGUAGUUGUUCAAUCAGGGUAAACUAAUUCAUAGUAUACAAUGGGAAGUGAUCUAUUUUCUACUUCUUUAUUAUUAUUGUAUUGUUUUGAAAUAUUUUUGAUAAAUUAGUAUUAAUUUUAAGUGAUUUUAAUAACACAUCAAUGAGUUCCUGAUGAGGGCAGGGAGGUGAAUCCUAAGAACAAUCAUGUGAGUUUGGAAGGAGACCCUUCCCCAGCUGAGCCUCAGCCUGAGCCAUCCCCUACAUCUAGACCGAAGACCCAGAGAAACCGUGAGUAGUAUGUGUGUGGUUCUGAGCCACUAAGGUAUGUAGUAAUUUGUUAUGCACCAAGUAGUAAGUAAUAUACCUGACAGUAAUUGUUAGGUGGUAUUCUGGAUUAGGUCCUGGAAUAGAUAAGUAUAUGAUUAUUAGAAAACCUGGUAAAAUAUGAAGGAAGUUUGUAGAUCAGUUAAUAGUCUUGAAAAACAGUUAAAUUCUUAGUUUUCAUGAAUAUGCUAUGGUUACAAUAUAUAUUAACAUUCUAGUUAUCUGAAUGGUAUAUGAAACUGUCUGUACUUACCUAUGUGCAUUUAUGUAAAUCUGCAGUUAUUUCAAAAUAAAUAUGUUUUUUAAUAUUAUUAUUAUUUUUUUAAGAAAAGUAAGCAAGUAAAGACAUCAGCAAAAAACUUUUGCCUCCAGAUACAAGUGGGCAUGUAGGGAGAGAAUAGUAAACUGGCUUUUCUUUUCUUUUCUAGGCAACAUUCGAAACCCAGGUGCCACUCCUUCAGGAAGGUACCAUCAAGCUCCAAGGACUCAUCCUCUUUCUCCUUCCCCACUACCUAGUCAUUAGAGCGUCAGCAUCCACUUCCUGAAAGGAAGAUGCCUGUUUUUCACAUAUCCCAGAAAGCCUCAUUUUAGGACAGCAUUUAGCAGAGUGUAUUCAGGAUCCCACUAACCUUUUCGGAAGACAUGACUUCCAGAUGAUAUAAGGCUCCAUCAGGAACUGUGCAGGACUGUGCACUCUGUUGAUACUCACAUGGUGGAAUUAUAUUGCCCUUGGCCAACCCUAAAGCCAUCAAGAUAGCAGGUUUGGAAUAAUUCACUGUCGAAGUCUUCUUGAGCUGAGCAGUCAUGUGAGCUUGGAAGAUGAUCCCUCUCCAGCUGAUCCUUCAGCUCAGGCCAUCAUCUACAUCUGGAUUCCUGACCCGGAGAAACUAUGAGUAAUGUGUGCUGCUUUUGAGCCACUAAGCUACAUGAAUUAAUGAAGGAUCAUUAUUAAGUUUUUAAUGGGUCAAGAGAAAGUUACCACUGAGGUCUUCUCUACCUGGGCAACAAUUGACUCCUAACAACCACUAUAAGCUUGGAAGAUGAUCCCUCCCCAGCUGAUCCUUCAGUUCACAUGAAGCAUUUGGAAGUAAACACACGAUGGACUGAACACUUUGCUGCUUAGAAACUUCUUCUUCCAGAUUCCCUAGUUCAUCAUUAAGUAGUUAGGCCUCUCACAAAGCCCUUGGUCACGGAUACAGGUCAGCCGUUCUUUACCCAAUCAAAACAGGGAUGGCCUUUACUGCAGUUACUAAUAUCUUGUUUUUUAGUUUCAUCUGACAUUUUGUCAGAAUGGCCCUUAUGUCAGUAUUUCUAUCAGCAGUGAGGACUAAACUCUGAUUUUUUUAUCUUGCCCAAAUUCCUAUCUAAAAGGUCUGGGGAGUCAUGCCCUACAAAUGAUAAAUUCUCAUCAGAUGGGUUUUAUUUGACCCUGUAUAUCGUGACUUACUUUCCAACCUGACUGUGGCAUAACAUUACAAAAGAAGGAAGAAAAUCAAAAUAUUUUACUCCAAAAACAUGUUUCUUUGUUGCAUUUUGAAAUGGUCCUGCAAGCCAUCCUUUGUGGAGGAAAAUUCACGUCUGUAAAGAAUCUCUAUUAGCCUCUAUAUCUAUAGAGGUUAAUAUAUAUCUAUAUGUUAGCCUCUAUAUAUAUAAUAUAAUAUAAUCUAUAUCUAUAACCUCUAUAUCUAUAUCUGUAAAGAAUCUCUAUUAACCUCUAUAUCGAGGUAUAAUCUCUAUACCUCGACCUUUGUCUGUCAGGCCCUUCCAAUUCUGAAUAGAUUAGGUAAGAGUGUAGCACCUUUUAAAGUCUGAAUAGGCAACAUUUGUCAUCUAUUAUCUCUAAGUGCAAUGGCUAUGAGACUUCAAAAGAACCUUGGUCUCCAAAGUCUUUUGUCUUAACCUGAACAUUUCCUUUCUAUUGAUCCCAG